AAUCGCUUGGUGAAACAAUUUCCUAGAGACUUGUCAUCACCCUGAAGACUUAUGACAUUUUAUUUUCUUAGUCUUCUGCUCUUCUCGGCAGCAAAGAUAAGCCCCGGUGCAUUCACCACUUUCCUUGUUGUUUACAAAAGUUUUAUCACUGUAUAUGAUGCAUUAGGUGCUAGGAGUUGCGUGAUCAAACAAUUGAUGCAUUACCAUCCUUGAGAAUUUGAAUAAUCAUUCCUUGAUACCUAUUUUAUGAAAAACUAGUGCUGCUUAGCCCUGCUUAAAGUGAUAAGAUUUUGAAAUUUAUUUUGAUUACUGGUUAUUGUUAUGUGUGAAUGAACUUGAGUUAGAUAAUUAAUAUGAGACCGGGUGGGUGGCUUGCAUCGUGAAAUGAGUCAGUGUAGUGCUCCGCCUGUGUCGAUUAAGGACCAUUCGAUGUAGGCUUGAUGAGGUGAGACUUUGCAACUAGCCACAUGCUCUGGUAAGUCUGAACCCGACUAUUUCAUACGUGAAAAGACAACCACGCACUGGGCGUGGGAGAUGGUGGGAGUAGCGUGUACCCUCCUGGCUAGAGGCUGGACGGAGGAGUACUGUGCUCCCGGGUAGCGCGGACCGGUUCACGUUGUGGAGGAUCUGUGAGUACGAUUGACAUAUGCAAGGGUUAAGUGCUACAUAUGUCGUGUGGUUAGGAAUCCCUAGCUGGGUAUAAUCGGUUCGAAUCGUCGUUGCUCCUCGGUUAUAGAGACUCGACUCACUGACCACUCAUCGUAGUUAAUAAGUGAAACAUGAAUUGGCUAAAAGAAAGCUAGAUGGACAAGUGAAUGCUCUAGAUCAGGAAAAUCUAGAAUCAGGUAAGAACUGAAAUUGAUAAUUAAAAGAUGGCUUAAGGAUCUACUAUUAGUAAGUUUUUCUGCAAAAUGAGUACUUGAUUAUUGCUUAGACUUACCUUGAUUCCUAAAAGCCAAC
This 960-nucleotide long non-coding RNA is filed under the name Zea mays. RNAcentral's name for it is "drought responsive lncRNA". Lineage: Eukaryota; Viridiplantae; Streptophyta; Magnoliopsida; Poales; Poaceae. The record is from RNAcentral.